Molecule: small nucleolar RNA, 82 nt
Organism: Hevea brasiliensis (rubber tree)
Lineage: Eukaryota; Viridiplantae; Streptophyta; Magnoliopsida; Malpighiales; Euphorbiaceae
Product: small nucleolar RNA snoR27
Exons: 1
Source: RefSeq, a predicted model, not a curated record
UCUGGAUCAAUGAUGUUACUGAUAUUCUGCGUUAUCUAUCUGAAAAUUAUUUUGAGUUGAAGCUAACAUUCUGAGAUCCUGA